RNAcentral lists this ribosomal RNA (253 nucleotides) under uncultured bacterium. RNAcentral describes it as "partial 16S ribosomal RNA". It matches the Rfam family "Bacterial small subunit ribosomal RNA", at positions 524 to 776 of the family's 1533-position model. The record is from RNAcentral.
UACGUAGGGGGCAAGCGUUGUCCGGAUUUAUUGGGCGUAAAGCGCUCGCAGGUGGUUCGUCGCGUCGUGCGUGAAAGACCCCGGCUCAACUGGGGAGUGUCGUGCGAUACGGGCGGACUAGAGGCCAGUAGGGGGAUGCGGAAUUCCGGGUGUAGUGGUGGAAUGCGUAGAGAUCCGGAGGAACACCAGCGGCGAAGGUGGCAUCCUGGACUGGUCCUGACACUCAGGAGCGAAAGCGUGGGGAGCGAUCCGG